RNAcentral lists this ribosomal RNA (164 nucleotides) under Pinanga purpurea. RNAcentral's name for it is "5.8S rRNA". It matches the Rfam family "5.8S ribosomal RNA". From Rfam's summary of the family: 5.8S ribosomal RNA (5.8S rRNA) is a component of the large subunit of the eukaryotic ribosome. It is transcribed by RNA polymerase I as part of the 45S precursor that also contains 18S and 28S rRNA. Lineage: Eukaryota; Viridiplantae; Streptophyta; Magnoliopsida; Arecales; Arecaceae. The record is from RNAcentral.
AUGAUGACUCUCGGCAACGGAUAUCUCGGCUCUCGCAUCGAUGAAGAACGUAGCGAAAUGCGAUACUUGGUGUGAAUUACAGAAUCCCGUGAACCAUCGAGUCUUUGAAUGCAAGUUGCGCCCGAGGCCACCCGGUCGAGGGCACGCCUGGCUAGGUGUCACGC